This is a long non-coding RNA of Clupea harengus (Atlantic herring), 1611 nucleotides long. NCBI's taxonomy places the organism in Eukaryota, Metazoa, Chordata, Actinopteri, Clupeiformes, Clupeidae. The record is from Ensembl.
CGCAGCCUUUACGUGGAAAAAAAUCGACCCCUAAAACCAAUUAUGAAAUGCAGUUUAUCGCGUUCUCUCUCAUUCUCUGUCUCUCAGGACACUGUAAAGCAGACCGACUCAGGCUUUGGUCAAUUAUCAAUAUGGCAAUAUCUGCCUUCACAUUUUUCAUCCUUGCCUUAACGGCUGGUAAGUCGUCUUACUACCUUGAUUUGGUUUGUUUGUCUUCAGACCUAAGUCUAUUGCAAAUGUAUUCUUUAUCUAUUGCCCGUUUUAGCUAUUGUCUUAUGUUAUUGUUUAUAUUUAAGAUUUGAGAUAUUAGACACUUGUAAUUACAGCGAAUUGUUUCAUUUCAUUUUGCAGACCACUCGGUAAGCGAGAGUGGGUUAAUACUCGCAACGCAUGGUGAAGAUGUUUCAUUUACCUGCCUUUGCCUGAGAGACAUGCUGUGUAAGGAUAAUUUCAUCCGCUGGAUAAAAGUCGCUGUGAAUCGCACUGUGACAGUUUUAGACACUGGCUGUGAACAAUACUGUCGAAUCUCUCAUAAAAGUUUAAACGAUUCCAAGAUUGAGUUGACUAUUCGACAGGUAAGGAGGGAUGACGAGGGACGAUAUUACUGUGACAUAAAAGGUUCUCGGACUCUCAAGUUUCGAGGAAAGGGUACACUUCUCCAAAUUAAAGAGUCUGAGACCGGGACCAACAGGAGUGAGGUGAUGUUGUUGAGAGAAUUCGAGAGCUCCAUGAUGAAACCAGCUUUAGAGAAACACCGAACAUCUGUGCUAUGUUGCCUUGUGACCGCUUUGCCCACUCCGAAUAUCAUCAUCACUUGGCAUUCAUCCCAUGGACGGGUGGAAGCCGGUCAGACCUGGGUAUCUGACGCUAACGAAAGGUUCACUGCAGGAAGCCGACUACAAAUAAACGUGACGACUGGCAAGGAUUCCCAAAUUUCCCCAAAUGCCGAGGAGCACAGGGAGGAGUGGUGGUGUGAGGUGCAUCAGGGAGAUUUCACAUUGAGAAGUGACACGUCUUCAAUUUACACGAGCAGAGUGUCCGAGGGGUGUCCUGCUGUCCUGUACUCCGCUGUGGCACUCAUCUCGCUGUGUGUUCUGUCCCUCGUCCUGCUCACCUCUCACUGGAUCCUCUACUUGCGCAAAGGUUUGUUACACAUAGAAGGAGCAGCACGAAGAUGUCAUUAAGUGCCGAUAAGAGCUGUAUAAUAAUCUUAUUACCCAAUAUAUUGCAUCUAAGAGUAGGGUUGUAAAUACAAGGUGAAGUAUAUCUGACAUCAUAUAUGAUGACAUGAAUCAUGACUAAUUGUACUGUCUGACUGAAUCAUGUCUAAUUUCAAACUAAGUGGUGACUAACUGAAGACAAGUCACAAGUUUUUUCACGGUUCCAGGUGCAGGAGCUUCAGUCACCAGUGCUACCACGUCACCGUCUCAGAAUGAUACGUCAAUCAGUGUGACAUAUGCUUCCGUGGACUUUCAACGGCCACCAAGGCCCGGGAGACGACGCAAGGAGAACAACCGAGAUCGGCAGAUUGACAUAUACAGUGCAGUUCAUUUUCGCUAAACUUGUUGUGAAUGCUCUUGUGAUAAAAAAUCAAUUAAACAAAUUAGCACA